UUGUUACAUUGAUUUGAAUAAUGAGAACAUUUAGAGCCAUGGAGAACUUAAAUGUUUUGGCCAUAUGGAGCUGGUUAAAUACUUCUGAACGCUGGGGGGGGGGGAAGCUAGCUUACACAUGUUGUUUGGUUUUGGCCUGUUUCUAGAUCAGGACUUUUUUUCCUUUGAAUAAUAACACAGUUUAUAAACUUAACUAUGUAUUUUGCCAAAAUUGUCAUGCACACUGGAGAUGGAAAUUGCUUCAGAGGUAGUGGCAACACUCACAAAGCUGUCCUCAGCACCAGAAGCCCACAGCUUGAUUCUCUAUCAAGCUGGAGACCUUGGACUGAAAGUAAGAGUAUCUGCUAGGAGGUAAAGGGCUGUUGGUUCAGAGGUUCAUAAAACUAGACAGGGUGUAGCCACAGGAGAGAAAUGCUCAUGCAAUUAAUGUAUGUUCUAUUUACGUCUUUGAGGAUUAUAGAAACCAACCUGUCUGAUACACGUUGUGGCAUCCUCACCUCUUUGCCAGGGCUUAGUCUUAACCCCAGUGGGUGGGGUCAGUAACAGGCUUGUCAUCCUUGUCUUUACUUACCUGAAAAUACAUCUCCAUAGCUCUUGUACUGACAGCAUCUUCAGAACAUUUAUUGUCAGCAUUCAAACCUGAUUAAAAUGUGCAGCAUUAGAUAUAAAAAAACACCUUAAUAACUCUUAAUGCAGACUACUUCAUAAUAGAGAGGCAAGCCUAUUAAUGUCACGCUGUGCCCAACCCCUCAGAACACUCACUGAUUUAGUAGGGUUUGGAAAGGGCUUGGAGGAAAACACGAGAUCACAAGCUGUAGUAAGAGAAGCUCCAUUUACACUAAAAUUGUUUCAGUUCUGGCAUCCAAGAUACUUUUUUUUUUUCUUUCUUUCCCCCCUUUUAGCCAUUCUCUGUGAAAGAAGAUACAGAUGGAAUUUUGUCAAAACACUUGUUAAAAACUGUUUGAGAGAGUCUUAAGUAGUUUUUAACAUGUUUUAUUGCAUGACAACAUCUCUGUGCUGUAGGCAGAACCAAAGCAGAUGGUUUUACAGACAGAUAGUUGUCCCGUCUCUCAGUAUGCUGUUAUCAGAAGGCACAUUAAGUACUUUUCUCACAACCUGAAGGUGUCUGCCAUUAAAUUUGCUUGUGUCAGCCUUAUGUAUAUGUACAGGUCCCUACAAGACUAGCUAGGAUGUGGAUUUACAGUAUGUCAGAUGACCCACAGUAGCAACCUAUGGACACAGCUGUACCUAGCACUAAGCAGAAGACAUUUACUCCUCAACAAAAACAGGGUCAUAGCAUGCACACAGGCAGUUUCCGCAGAGUAGCUAACGUGCUCUAAAUCCCCACCCAUUCUUGGCUCACUAACUUGUGUGUGUAGCCAUACCCCAAGCAAAAGUGAAUAAAUACACCCAUGAGCUGAGCAGAAAAAUCUCAUCCCACAAACACCAUGUAGUGUAACGCAAUGGCCAGCAAAGAGUGAGGUUAAGAGAGCUAGGUGUUCCAUAGCUCACAGAAAGUUUUUUUUUUCUUGCUGAAAUGAAUUGCUUGUGUUUCGACUACUUUCCUAGUUCGUGAAUUUCCCUUAUUUUUUCGGUUAGCAAUAGCUGUUACCAAAGUUCAUCUGUUUCUUUUUGCACUUUAAUUUAUAGCUUUUGUACUAGUCAUUUUAUUGCUUCAAUCUCUGAGUGAGAGAACUUUUACAACUUGUGAUUACUGAACUCGGAGAAACAAGAAAGCUUUUUGACCUGCCUGGGAGUAAUUACAGACCCCGUUGCUUCUUGGGAGGGGCUUUCAAUGUUUAACAAACUGUGUCAACUCUAAUUUAACCAUGUGGAACCUGGACCAUUGGAUGGGAGUGGGGAAAAAAAAAAAAAAGACUCCAGAAUCUUUCUAGCUCUCAUUUUAACUUGGCUGUUUUAGUCUCCAAAGGGCUGUUCUUGAAGUCCUGCCUUCCCACUACUGAACUUGGUGCUGUUCCUUCCUUAGCAGCAUGAGGGGAUUUGAGCCAAGCCAUUUGCAUAUGAAAAUAAUUUCCCCUUAUUUCAGAAAUUAUAGCUACAUUACUUUUGAUUAAUCCUUUCCUGGGGCAGGUCUUCUGAAUGCCACGCCAUGAAAAUAAGGCUCUUGACAAUAGAGAAAUUGUCCUGUCUUAAAUUACUACUGUUGUUUUGUAUUAUAGGGGCUGUGGUCAGGGACAAAGGUUCAAUUGUGUUCAACAGUGUAAAAACAGAGAAUCAAUAGAUACCCUGUGUUUGAAAGGGUCUGUGAUCUGAAUUACUUGAGGAGUAAAGUUUGGAAUUGGAAAAUGAGAUGAGGAAGAUUUGUUGCAAUUUAUGCAUUUUGCCCACUUACAGGAUUGUAAGCCAGCUAGAGUUUGAAGGCUCCCAGCUGUUCUUAAUACACUCAAACAGCUAUUAUUUAAGAAAUGCUGAACUUGCCUUCAGGAAAAGGAUUAGGACAUUAUUUUGAAAGCACCAAAGUUUUCUUACUUUUGAUGUCCCUAGAUGAAGAGAUAGCUGUAUUUCCUGGAUAGUCAGUUGCUUAGAUCUUUUGUGGUUUUGCGUACUAAUGUGUACACAGACAUUAUGCCAGUGAGGCUAUGUAUUUGUGUUUUCACUAGAUGUGAAUGGAAUAUUUUGAGCUAAUGUGAUUUUUAUAAGAAUGUUUAAGCAAAAUUCUUGAUGUUUUAUUGGUUUAGCAACAUUUUCAUCAAGAAGGUUUUUGAAGUCUCGGGGUUGCUAGGUCAUUCUGAGGGGAAAGAGGAGAAAAACAGAAGCUGAAGAGUUUGCAUUUUUCCAUGCGAAUGUAGGCAACCCAGUGACUGCACAUGCGCAAGUACACCAGCAGUGCCCUGGGCAUGGCUGAUGCACACCUGCUCCUUGCUCUGCACCUGUGUCUCAGGAAGCCUGGUGCUCUUGGCAGCUGGAACAAAUGGCUCCAGGAUUGUGGUGGUGUAGAGGAGUCCUGUUUAUUAGUGCUCUUUGCACAAUGCAGCAUGAAGAAAGAGCCUGGGCACAACUGGGUAACAAAUAACCAUGGUUAUUAAAUACUUGCUAAUGCAAAAUACAAUUUCUAGUGGCUUUAAAAAGUUAGAAUAUGGUGGAUGAUGUCUGAAGGUUCAAAAAAACCUUAUAAAGGAGUUCUGUACAGUUCAUCUCCUUUCCCUUUAAUGUAAAAUAAUGCACUCAGAGUUUUGAGUUACUGAUGUUGAGAGAUACAUAAUUCAUCACUUGCCAUUCUGUGACACAAUGGUGGAAAACCUAGUGUAGUCUAUUUCAUCUAUUUAUUUUGACAAAGUAAUUUGAACUCUUCAGAUAAGGCUACUUCAUUUCAUUUACAACCAGCACAGAAGUACCAAUCCUUAAAAAUAAAUCCUAAAGGCUUCCACUGUCUGCUUUGAAUUAUUUAAGUUCAUACAGGAUAUAUCAGUCUAUUUACAGCAGAAAUGAACAGCAAGUUCAAACUUAUGUCCCCAGUACUUAGAUUUGCUGCUGCAGAGUACUUGGCUGUUUUGAAGUAUGCAGAAGUUUAAACAAGUUUAAACAUGCACUGUCUUUUCUGGCAGCCUUCACAUUCUUUUACCAUUUGCUGUGUUAGUCUAGUCAGUACAUUUCUCAUUCACUGUGUAAUUUCCUGGUGGGUUUUUUUCUUCCAGUUCCUGAAUUUCUCAGUACCUGAGCAUAACUACAGCUGCUCUUGGACUAAAGCAUUAGAAAACCCUGCUGUAUGCUUAGAAGUUCUUUUCAAGUAAACAAAGCCAAAACCAGUUUUCCUGUCCAUUCAUCCAUCAGUGACAUACGCUUGAGUGGCACUGGACCAUUUAUAGUUCUAAUCAUACUGUAACAUUUGUCAAAAGCAAGGAUUUAGCUGUAAGGCCCCUUUCCAGUACUUACUUGCUAUCUCAAGUAGCAAACAGGUAAGCCAUAUUCAGUCUGUUAUGCUUAGUCCUAGCCCAGGCACCAGGAUGCCGUAAUGAUUUGUUUCACACAACUCAUCUAAAUCCUUACUCUCUUCCCACGUAAAAAAACAGGUUUGUGGUGAUAGAUGUGGGUUGAGGUGGUUUAUCUGUUCCUUUUUAAUUUACUGAAACUUGUGUGACUUUUUACACCCUUUACUCUGAAAGAGUUAACCACAUGUCCAGAGUUUGCUUUUUAGGUGAAUGUUUAGUUUCAUUAUGGUCUUUAGUAAUCGAGCUCAGCCUGUGUGCGUUUCAUCUAGAACAUACUUGAUUGAGAGGCUGGGUUCCCCCCAACAAGGUCAUGAGUCAUCUCUACAGGGAAGAGAGACUUACCUCCCCCCCCUUCUGUUUCACACUCUGCAAUAAGUAGAAGUCUAUAAUUGAAAAACAGAUCCUUUAUUAUGAACAAUGAUCUGUAUUUAAAAGCACCAGUGGUUCUUCUUCAUGACUUUGUUUGAAAAGAAAUACCAGGUGUUCUUCCUAUGGUACUUUGUAGUCUUUAACAAAAAAAAUGUUCACUGGAAAGGAUAUCAGAGGCCAAAGAGAUGUGCUUUGCUACCUCACAAAUCUUAAAACGAUUUUUACAAAAUGUAUAUCCUAAAUGUAAUUUAUUAAAAUACUAACCCUGUGUUUUUCUUCAGUGAUGCUUCUUAAUCUAUCCGUAAAGAACUCAGUCACUGAAAAAUUGUAAAGUUUGUUUUUCAUUUAAACGAAGCAGACUGCUCUGCAGCUGCCUCUUUGGACCAGCUACUGGAUAGCUAUGUAACUACGUGUCUCGUGUAAUUGAGUGCCAGUGCAUUUAUGGAAAUAUUUUUUUUUCCACAAAAAAUAAGAUUUUGUAAGAAUCCCAGGUCUUUCAGACCCAGGUUGUAUUCAUUAUCUCUCUCUAAGAGAAAAUCUGUUCAAACUGUGGUAACUUACAAAGAUGAAAAGUAGCUAAAUGGAUUUUAUGUUGUUGUUGUGGUAGUAACCUGAACUGAGCUGGCUUUGGUGCCCAAUAAAUCCAAAACACAACACUAUACCAGCUACUAGGAAGAAAAUUAACUCUAUCCCAGCCGAAACCAGGACAAAUGUUCACCUGUAGGAAGAACUAGGAAGUAAAUAAAAGGUGAAAUCCAUUGUACUACACUAGACAAAUGCUGCGUUAGGCCAGUUUGAAUUGCUGGUGGUGAAACAGUGCCCCCUGAUGUCCGGCAAGCUGACUUGGAAAUCAGAAAGCUACAUUCCAUAUUCUGGGAUGAACUGAUCAACAACCUUCCAUAAACUAUAGUUAAUAAUAUGCAAAGUUGAGAGCCAAUUAAGUCUGCUAUAUCAUGCAGACAAUUUAGAGUCAGGUAAACAUCUAUUUCCUUAUUGUCACUGGGUUCAGGCACCAACCUUUCCAUGCUGAUGUUUUUCCAUGACGUUUCCAAGUUGAAUCCUUGAGUCACUCCUAUCUCAACCAUCCUACCUCAGGCUGCAGAGUCCUGCAAGGAAGGAAAGGUGAAGUUGCAAACUUCCUUGCAGCUUUUCCUCCCGGCUGCAGUUUCCUCAGCCUGAGUCAAGGUGAGGCAGCUUGUCCAUAUCAGAGCAGAGCCCUGGGUUCUGUGAGGUGAGGGACAGUACCGCAGGGGUUAACAGUCACAGUACCUGUUGAAUAACUUGAUUGUAACAGAUUUUUGGGAGUGAAAAUGAAUGAAAAAUAAAAAUCUUCUAGUAUUUUGUUGCUGAACCACCAGCUCAAAAAUUAAGUAUUUUAGAAAGGGGAGAGCUACAGGAAAAAAACCCAUACAAACCCUGAAAAGCUCUGUGUGGGUGAAGAUCUGCAUUGUAAGCCACUUUUUAUUAAUGAGCCAAGGAAUAAAAAUGUGAAGGUGUGAAGAGCAAGAAAGCAUGUGCUUCACAAUUAUCAUUGCAGUUUUAUGUUUUACAGUAGGGCAAAAAAAUGACAGAAGCUUAUUCCCUAGUCUGAGCGGUUGAGGUGGUUAAGGGGAAGUUUCUGUAAAUUGCCCUUACUUUGUUUUCCACAGUUUUCAAAUGAAUGGUAACUAAUUGAAGAGUGCUUUGAGUUCCUUAGACAAAAAGUAUUAUGCAAAAAUAAAUACCAAUUUAGUUCAGGUGGAAUUACCUUGCAUAUGUGUAUAUGGAGAAGGACCUUCAAAAAACAGACUUUUGCCCCUCUGAUGUGCUUGCUAUUAUCUCUGCUCUGCUGUUUCCCAAUUUCGGCCCAUCCCACACAGAUGUUGUUAGUUAGCACAUUUACUGUCUGAUAGGUUUUUCCUCUCUCUGGAGCAUGCAGCCAGAAACUGGGUAUGACCUUUCCCUGAACACGCUCGCUAACCCUGUGCGCCUAAAUAAAAACAUCUAGCAAAUUAUUAAUGAAAGAUGAGGAAGGAGUAAAAAGGCCUCUGCUCUCAUAGCAAAUGAGGGCAGUUACACUUUAAUUGACCUGUACAGGAGGAACAACGAAAUUGGAGCAUUUCUUGCCAUCUUCCUAGAAUACUUCUUUAGCUCUUGUAACAAGAGACAGUAAGAUUUUAUACCAAAUCUCGCUAGUGAAGGGAGGUUCUCAUUCUUUUUACAUUCCAGUAGCCUUAGAGUAACUGCAUAAUCCUGCACGUAUUAAUUGCUUCUGUGGGAAGCAGUAGCAGGGUAUGGCGUGCCUGUGUUUGUAACGGCUUUUGAAAGGUAUGCCUUCUCCCUCACAUCCUGGGGCUCUGGGGAGCCGCUUAGCCGCCUAAGGAAGCUGCUGGUCGGGCAGCAGAGAGGUUCCAGCCAAGUGGCGGCAGGAGAGACGGGCGGCCGGGCCGCGCGGGGAAGCGCCGCCCUCAGUGCCGGCUGCGGGGCUCGCCGCGCGUCGCCUAGCGCGGGAGAGCGGGGCGCUGGGACAGGCGGACUAGGCCACAGGGCCUUCCUCCGCAGCACCGCCCCCAGCCCGCAUAGCAACAGCCCCGCCCGCCUCUGAUUGGCCGCCCGUCGGGAGGGUAGGGGAGGUAAGAGGGUCCUGCCGCCUGAUUGGCAGGGGUGGCUACCUCGCGCUCUGAUUGGCUGCGAGGGGCGCCAUGUCGCCCUGCGCGGCAAGGGCUGAGGCGUGAGGGAGAGGCUGCUGAGGGGAGUGCGGGGCGGUGCUGCGCCGUGCUGGGUCACCGCGGCGGGCUACCGCGGCCCUGCCGGCUUACCUGCGGGGGGCCAACACAGCGGAACCGUACCCACCAGGGAAGGGCUGUUUUGUUGUUUGUAUGGCAGCAGGCUAAAAGCUGGAGAGCUAGGGAGGCUGCGGUGAGCUGGUCUCCGGCAGCCCCGUGCUCUGUGGAGGGACCUACUGGUGAAAUGAUGAUCUAAUCCAAGACUUCCUUUGGAUGGACAGUUGUUGCAAAAUCGCAGACAAGUAUCUCUUGGCAAUGACUUUCGUUUAUUUCAAGAGGGCUAACCUCACGAUAAAUGAGCAUACCAGAAUCAAUUUCUUUGUCGCUUUGUAAGUACUUUUAAAUCAUCUGGUUUUAUUAGCAUAAACAUUGUAUUAUUUUAUUCCUUGGUUCAUGCCACUGAUAAUUAUGAUAUAUGAUGAGACUUCUUUUACUCUCUGUGUAGUGGUUUGGGUUCUAUCUGAAGUAUAGAAACAUAAUCUACAUACUAUGUACAAAUAGUGCAAAUUUGGCAUUCCUCCCCUGAUGACCGCUUGUGCGGAACAAGCUUGAGCAGCAGUGAGGGUACGUUUGUAUUGGUGUAGUGAUCCAUAGUGUGGCAUUCUGCCUACCCAACUAAAUCUGUGAACUUUUUUUAGUGUUACAAGAAAUAUGUGCAGGACAAUACAUGGCAACAUAUACGUGGCUUACACUCCUUGUUUUAAGACCCUAUUUUAUCUUUGUCAGCAUUUAAGUAAUUUGUACUGAAAUGUUUCAUCAUGAUACGCACCUCGGGAGUAAGUUUUUAUGAUGAUUUAAGUCAACAGUAAAAAUGUAGCUAGAGAAUUUUUGAGAACUUUUUUGAGCAGUUCUGAGAUUUCUGUACCUUGAAACAGAGGUGCAAUCGGUAGUCUGUUUUUACCAAGCCUGUAUACUCUCUCAGUAUUUGGCUAUAACAACAGAGUGUUUUCUUUCAUAGUGUUACGGUGCCCAGGUCACCGUUCUCCGUAAUAGCGCUUCUCAGAUACUCUGAUUUACCCAUUAGCGCGGGGAGAAAGAUGGCUGUUCUGCUCUAAAUGGUAUUCUGGGUAGCAUCCAUAAGAGCACAGAGGAGGAAGCCAGGCCAGAAGAGUGAGAGGAUUAGAAGGGGACAAAGGGUCUGGUGUGACUGGGACUAGAGGGAAUACUGGUGAGUUAGGAGCAAGUGAGAAAACUGGGGAGGAGACUUAAAAGUCAUAGCAUUUUCAGGUAUGAUUUACAGGAGUUUAGGUGGAUCCAGAGGAAGUAUUUUCCUGCUGUGUGAAAAGACAACCCAGAAGCCAAAGUAGCACAUGAUGAGGGAAGGGAGAAAUAUGGACAUGAAAAAUUAAGGUUUUCAUUUAUAUAUGAAAGUAGACCUGUAUUUAGUUGUUUGCUACUAAUUUAAUGUGAGCAACAUAAUUUUCCAAGAAUAGCUAAAAUCCAUAAAGUAGAAAAUGUGAAGUUUAAGAUUUCGUAAGAUAGGUUUUAACCUUUAUUUAGAGAUGCCACUCAGAAACUGUUCAUUUUAGUGCAAGGCUAUCUUGCCAGUUUGGAGAAGGCUAUCAGGAUAUGUUACGUCUUGCGUUAUCAACUCAUUUAGGAGACUCUAGGUUAAAGCAGUUUUUAUAAGAGCUGAAGUUAAAUUUUUAUUUACCCAAAUGAUGCAUAUGGAAAUUUCUGAUUAAGAAAAUGCUGUGCUCCAGGCUGUAUUUGGCUAAUUUUUCUCACAAUACUAGGAAAAAACCCUACUUCAGUAUUAUGCCUUUUAACAUUAGAAAUAAUACUAAUACAGUGAUUUAAGUUUGAAUAAUACUUACGAACACGAGCAUAUGUAUGUUUGAAGGUAUCUGGCAAAUACAGUGGAAGAAGACGAUGAAGAAUCAAAGUAUGACAUUUUCCCAUGGGCUUUGGGAAAAGCCUGGAGAAAGCUCUUCCCUGAUUUCUUAAAAUUAAGAGAUCAACUGUGGAGCAGAAUUGAC
RNA transcript from Falco peregrinus (peregrine falcon), 9063 nucleotides. It is a transcript of the gene named speedy/RINGO cell cycle regulator family member A, with no coding region annotated. NCBI's taxonomy places the organism in Eukaryota, Metazoa, Chordata, Aves, Falconiformes, Falconidae. The transcript has 3 exons. The record is from RefSeq and is a predicted model, not a curated record.